GACGAGCUCUCCAAACGUUAUUCGGUAUCACUGGGCUUAAAGAGUUCGUAGGCGGCUUAUUAGGUGGGGUGUGAAAGCCCUCGGCUCAACCGAGGAACUGCGCCCCAAACCAAUGGGCUCGAGGGGUAUAGGGGUAAGCGGAACAGAUGGUGGAGCGGUGAAAUGCAUUGAUAUCAUCUGGAACACCGGUGGCGAAAGCGGCUUACUGGAUACUUUCUGACGCUGAGGAACGAAAGCUAGGGUAGCGAACGGG
Molecule: ribosomal RNA, 253 nt
Filed under: uncultured bacterium
Lineage: Bacteria
Description: partial 16S ribosomal RNA
Rfam family: Bacterial small subunit ribosomal RNA
Source: RNAcentral